GAUGAACGCUGGCGGCGUGCCUAAUACAUGCAAGUCGAGCGAACAGAUAAGGAGCUUGCUCCUUUGACGUUAGCGGCGGACGGGUGAGUAACACGUGGGUAACCUACCUAUAAGACUGGAGUAACUCCGGGAAACCGGGGCUAAUGCCGGAUAACAUUUAGAACCGCAUGGUUCUAAAGUGAAAGAUGGUUUUGCUAUCACUUAUAGAUGGACCCGCGCCGUAUUAGCUGGCUGGUAAGGUAACGGCUUACCAAGGCAACGAUACGUAGCCGACCUGAGAGGGUGAUCGGCCACACUGGAACUGAGACACGGUCCAGACUCCUACGGGAGGCAGCAGUAGGGAAUCUUCCGCAAUGGGCGAAAGCCUGACGGAGCAACGCCGCGUGAGUGAUGAAGGUCUUCGGAUCGUAAAACUCUGUUAUUAGGGAAGAACAAAUGUGUAAGUAACUGUGCACGUCUUGACGGUACCUAAUCAGAAAGCCACGGCUAACUACGUG
This 497-nucleotide ribosomal RNA is filed under the name uncultured bacterium. RNAcentral describes it as "partial 16S ribosomal RNA". It matches the Rfam family "Bacterial small subunit ribosomal RNA", at positions 28 to 507 of the family's 1533-position model. The record is from RNAcentral.